RNAcentral lists this ribosomal RNA (1618 nucleotides) under Salmonella enterica. RNAcentral describes it as "bacterial LSU rRNA". It matches the Rfam family "Bacterial large subunit ribosomal RNA", at positions 1223 to 2823 of the family's 2925-position model. Lineage: Bacteria; Pseudomonadati; Pseudomonadota; Gammaproteobacteria; Enterobacterales; Enterobacteriaceae. The record is from RNAcentral. RNAcentral also lists the same sequence under 1 other name.
GUUGGGUAGGGGAGCGUUCUGUAAGCCUGUGAAGGUGGCCUGUGAGGGUUGCUGGAGGUAUCAGAAGUGCGAAUGCUGACAUAAGUAACGAUAAAGCGGGUGAAAAGCCCGCUCGCCGGAAGACCAAGGGUUCCUGUCCAACGUUAAUCGGGGCAGGGUGAGUCGACCCCUAAGGCGAGGCCGAAAGGCGUAGUCGAUGGGAAACGGGUUAAUAUUCCCGUACUUGGUGUUACUGCGAAGGGGGGACGGAGAAGGCUAUGUUGGCCGGGCGACGGUUGUCCCGGUUUAAGCGUGUAGGUGUGUGUUCCAGGUAAAUCCGGUUCACUUUAACACUGAGGCGUGAUGACGAGGCACUACGGUGCUGAAGUAACAAAUGCCCUGCUUCCAGGAAAAGCCUCUAAGCAUCAGGUAACAUCAAAUCGUACCCCAAACCGACACAGGUGGUCAGGUAGAGAAUACCAAGGCGCUUGAGAGAACUCGGGUGAAGGAACUAGGCAAAAUGGUGCCGUAACUUCGGGAGAAGGCACGCUGACACGUAGGUGAAGUGAUUUACUCACGGAGCUGAAGUCAGUCGAAGAUACCAGCUGGCUGCAACUGUUUAUUAAAAACACAGCACUGUGCAAACACGAAAGUGGACGUAUACGGUGUGACGCCUGCCCGGUGCCGGAAGGUUAAUUGAUGGGGUCAGCGCAAGCGAAGCUCCUGAUCGAAGCCCCGGUAAACGGCGGCCGUAACUAUAACGGUCCUAAGGUAGCGAAAUUCCUUGUCGGGUAAGUUCCGACCUGCACGAAUGGCGUAAUGAUGGCCAGGCUGUCUCCACCCGAGACUCAGUGAAAUUGAACUCGCUGUGAAGAUGCAGUGUACCCGCGGCAAGACGGAAAGACCCCGUGAACCUUUACUAUAGCUUGACACUGAACAUUGAGCCUUGAUGUGUAGGAUAGGUGGGAGGCUUUGAAGUGUGGACGCCAGUCUGCAUGGAGCCGACCUUGAAAUACCACCCUUUAAUGUUUGAUGUUCUAACGUGGACCCGUUACCCGGGUUGCGGACAGUGUCUGGUGGGUAGUUUGACUGGGGCGGUCUCCUCCUAAAGAGUAACGGAGGAGCACGAAGGUUGGCUAAUCCUGGUCGGACAUCAGGAGGUUAGUGCAAUGGCAUAAGCCAGCUUGACUGCGAGCGUGACGGCGCGAGCAGGUGCGAAAGCAGGUCAUAGUGAUCCGGUGGUUCUGAAUGGAAGGGCCAUCGCUCAACGGAUAAAAGGUACUCCGGGGAUAACAGGCUGAUACCGCCCAAGAGUUCAUAUCGACGGCGGUGUUUGGCACCUCGAUGUCGGCUCAUCACAUCCUGGGGCUGAAGUAGGUCCCAAGGGUAUGGCUGUUCGCCAUUUAAAGUGGUACGCGAGCUGGGUUUAGAACGUCGUGAGACAGUUCGGUCCCUAUCUGCCGUGGGCGCUGGAGAACUGAGGGGGGCUGCUCCUAGUACGAGAGGACCGGAGUGGACGCAUCACUGGUGUUCGGGUUGUCAUGCCAAUGGCACUGCCCGGUAGCUAAAUGCGGAAGAGAUAAGUGCUGAAAGCAUCUAAGCACGAAACUUGCCCCGAGAUGAGUUCUCCCUGAGACUU